This 298-nucleotide ribosomal RNA is filed under the name Salinivibrio sp. IB870. RNAcentral describes it as "partial 16S ribosomal RNA". It matches the Rfam family "Bacterial small subunit ribosomal RNA", at positions 1 to 283 of the family's 1533-position model. Lineage: Bacteria; Pseudomonadati; Pseudomonadota; Gammaproteobacteria; Vibrionales; Vibrionaceae. The record is from RNAcentral.
AAAUUGAAGAGUUUGAUCAUGGCUCAGAUUGAACGCUGGCGGCAGGCCUAACACAUGCAAGUCGAGCGGAAACGGCAGYAUUGAAGCUUCGGUGGAUUURCUGGACGUCGAGCGGCGGACGGGUGAGUAACGGCUGGGAACCUGCCCUGACGAGGGGGAUAACCGUUGGAAACGACGGCUAAUACCGCAUAAUGUCUACGGACCAAAGGUGGCCUCUACAUGUAAGCUAUCGCGUUGGGAUGGGCCCAGUUAGGAUUAGCUAGUUGGUAAGGUAAUGGCUUACCAAGGCGACGAUCCU